This 462-nucleotide ribosomal RNA is filed under the name uncultured Thiobacillus sp. RNAcentral describes it as "bacterial SSU rRNA". It matches the Rfam family "Bacterial small subunit ribosomal RNA", at positions 916 to 1381 of the family's 1533-position model. The record is from RNAcentral. Lineage: Bacteria; Pseudomonadati; Pseudomonadota; Betaproteobacteria; Nitrosomonadales; Thiobacillaceae.
ACGGGACCCGCACAAGCGUGGAUGAUGUGGAUUAAUUCGAUGCAACGCGAAAACCUUUACUACCCUUGACAUGUCCGGAAUCCUGCAGAGAUGCGGGAGUGCCCGAAAGGGAAUCGGAACACAGGUGCUGCAUGGCUGUCGCCAGCUCGUGUCGUGAGAUGUUGGGUUAAGUCCCGCAACGAGCGCAACCCUUAUCAUUAGUUGCUACGCAAGGGCACUCUAAUGAGACUGCCGGUGACAAACCGGAGGAAGGUGGGGAUGACGUCAAGUCCUCAUGGCCCUUAUGGGUAGGGCUUCACACGUCAUACAAUGGUCGGUACAGAGGGUUGCCAAGCCGCGAGGCGGAGCCAAUCCCACAAAGCCGAUCGUAGUCCGGAUUGUUCUCUGCAACUCGAGAGCAUGAAGUCGGAAUCGCUAGUAAUCGCAGGUCAGCAUACUGCGGUGAAUACGUUCCCGGGUCUU